RNAcentral lists this ribosomal RNA (513 nucleotides) under uncultured bacterium. RNAcentral's name for it is "partial 16S ribosomal RNA". It matches the Rfam family "Bacterial small subunit ribosomal RNA", at positions 28 to 507 of the family's 1533-position model. The record is from RNAcentral.
GACGAACGCUGGCGGCGUGCUUAACACAUGCAAGUCGAACGAGAGCGUAGAGAAAGCUUGCUUUUUCUACAAUCUAGUGGCAAACGGGUGAGUAACGCGUAAACAACCUGCCCUACGGAUGGGGACAACAGCUGGAAACGGCUGCUAAUACCGAAUACGUUCCGAAAGUCGCAUGACUAUCGGAAGAAAGGAUGGCCUCUAUUUAUAAGCUAUCGCCGGAGGAGGGGUUUGCGUCUGAUUAGCUAGUUGGAGGGGUAACGGCCCACCAAGGCGACGAUCAGUAGCCAGUCUGAGAGGAUGAACGGCCACAUUGGAACUGAGACACGGUCCAGACUCCUACGGGAGGCAGCAGUGGGGAAUCUUCCGCAAUGGGCGAAAGCCUGACGGAGCAACGCCGCGUGAGUGAAGACGGCCUUCGGGUUGUAAAGCUCUGUUAUACGGGACGAAUAAUCUUGUGGUUAAUACCCAUGAGAAGUGACGGUACCGUAAGAGAAAGCCACGGCUAACUACGUG